GUGAUCGUAACUCAGUUGGUUAGAGUACCAUACUUUUAAUAUGGGAGUCGGGGGUUCGAGCCCCUCCGGUCACA
This 74-nucleotide transfer RNA is filed under the name Fibrella aestuarina BUZ 2. RNAcentral describes it as "tRNA-Lys (TTT) (tRNA-Lys-TTT-3-1)". It matches the Rfam family "tRNA". From Rfam's summary of the family: Transfer RNA (tRNA) molecules are approximately 80 nucleotides in length. Their secondary structure includes four short double-helical elements and three loops (D, anti-codon, and T loops). Lineage: Bacteria; Pseudomonadati; Bacteroidota; Cytophagia; Cytophagales; Spirosomataceae. The record is from Rfam by way of RNAcentral.